This 253-nucleotide ribosomal RNA is filed under the name uncultured bacterium. Its description in RNAcentral is "partial 16S ribosomal RNA". It matches the Rfam family "Bacterial small subunit ribosomal RNA", at positions 524 to 776 of the family's 1533-position model. The record is from RNAcentral.
UACGAAGGGGGCUAGCGUUGCUCGGAAUCACUGGGCGUAAAGGGUGCGUAGGCGGGUUCUUAAGUCAGGGGUGAAAUCCUGGAGCUCAACUCCAGAACUGCCUUUGAUACUGAAGAUCUUGAGUCCGGGAGAGGUGAGUGGAACUGCGAGUGUAGAGGUGAAAUUCGUAGAUAUUCGCAAGAACACCAGUGGCGAAGGCGGCUCACUGGCCCGGUACUGACGCUGAGGCACGAAAGCGUGGGGAGCAAACAGG